Molecule: ribosomal RNA, 253 nt
Filed under: uncultured bacterium
Lineage: Bacteria
Description: partial 16S ribosomal RNA
Rfam family: Bacterial small subunit ribosomal RNA
Source: RNAcentral
UACGGAGGGGGCUAGCGUUGUUCGGAAUUACUGGGCGUAAAGCGCACGUAGGCGGACUGGAAAGUCAGGGGUGAAAUCCCGGGGCUCAACCCCGGAACUGCCUUUGAAACUCCCAGUCUUGAGGUCGAGAGAGGUGAGUGGAAUUCCGAGUGUAGAGGUGAAAUUCGUAGAUAUUCGGAGGAACACCAGUGGCGAAGGCGGCUCACUGGCUCGAUACUGACGAUGAGGUGCGAAAGAGUGGGGAGCAAACAGG